This is a non-coding RNA of Acanthosepion pharaonis, 113 nucleotides long. Lineage: Eukaryota; Metazoa; Mollusca; Cephalopoda; Sepiida; Sepiidae. The record is from the annotation of a GenBank genome assembly.
UACGGCAACAUCACUUUGAAACAGUGGUUCUUGUACAAACCCCUGAAGUUAAGCAAUGUUGAGCCAGGUGAGUACCUAGAUGGGUGACCACUUGGGGAUACCAGGAGUUGUAA